UGGGUUGGGAGGGACCUUCAGCUCACCUCGUUCUAUCCCCUGCCAUGGGCAGGGACACCUUCCACUGUCCCAGAUUGCUCCAAGCCCCAUCCAACCUGGCCUUGGACACUUCCAAGCGUGGGGCAGCCACAUCUUCUCUGGGCAACAAAAUUAAUCUAAACCUUUUACCUGCAGCCACACACUGAUCAGAGGCAGAAGCAGCUGUCUGGAAGAGAUCACAACACACCUGAGAUGAACUUUGCUCAGGCACUGCUGAAAUUCAGGACAGAUUUAGCAUCGUGAGACUCACUUCACCCUUGUGUCAGGACACCAGCGUUUGCAUGAAUCCCGCAAAUAACAAAAAGAUUCCUGAGCCGCAGCCGCUGCCAGAGGAGGGUGCACAGUGAGUUACUGGCCACGGCCCCUGAGCUCCUCGUGCCUCGAGUCAUUUACCCAGAGCACCAGUGACGUUAUCGUGUUCAGCCCAUAUUUACUACAGCUACAAACUGAUUCAGAGAAACCUGGAGUACAGGAUUAAUCAUUACUCUUGGGAUGUUGAAAAUGGAUACCAGAACGGACUUCCAAAUUAGGUAUCUAAAAGUCCUGCAUCUCCCAGGAGAGCCCCAUUACAUCUCCCUACUCCUUCUAAUGGAAUCUAUAGUAUGUGAGCACGGCUUUGCCUCCCACAAGUCCUCCCUGCAUAAUUAUCCCCAGCUCAGAUUGCUGCUUUCUGUAAUGGCUGGAGAACCACUUUCUUCAGGCUACUGAGAUGUAAAGAGGAAAUGUUUAUUGCAAAAUGCAAGUCAACCACAGCCAGUGGGUCUGGGCCAUGGUGGAGGGAUACAGAAAUGGCUUCUUCUUCUUUUUUUGGCCUCAGAAAUAGAACUCACUAAAAAUAGCAGUUCCACAGGAACAAGACUGCCUGAAAAUAGCUGUUUCUCAGGAGCAGGGCUGGCUGCUUCUGAAAGAAGUAGCUAUUAAUGUAUAAUUGUCCCUGAGGCUGGUUUCUGAGAAAAUGCUGUACAUACAGAGGGCUGUAAAGAGAUAUAUUCACAGCAGGGAGCACAGGCACCCCUCUCUUGUCAGAGGUCCAGUGAACUCCAGUAGCUUGUAUCAGUGUAUUUGGUUCACUAAUCAUAGGCACAGUUAGAUCCAUCACAGCCCUGGGAAGUAUUUCCAUCUGUUCUGGUUAAAGCAGCACUUUAAGAUGCUCUUAUUAGUUAGACCAGUAAAUAAGAAAGUCUCCAUCAGCUUUAACCAAAUGUGCACUGGUUCCUCUCCCAGGACUGAGCCAACCUUACAAGCUAGACCCAGCUAUGAAAUCCCAGCACUUUCUUUCCACAGAAGAUCCAAGAACUUUGUUGAAUUGCAGGUUGUGCAAUCUACUUCCAAUUUCCUGCUCUACUCAGCACUUAAGAGUUUUCUUGCGCAGAUGCUACAGGGCAAUAAAUCUUCUGAAGAAUGGCUCUACAUUUCU
This is a long non-coding RNA of Passer domesticus (house sparrow), 1456 nucleotides long. RefSeq lists it as uncharacterized. NCBI's taxonomy places the organism in Eukaryota, Metazoa, Chordata, Aves, Passeriformes, Passeridae. The transcript has 2 exons. The record is from RefSeq and is a predicted model, not a curated record.